CCUACGGGUGGCAGCAGUAGGGAAUCUUCCACAAUGGGCGCAAGCCUGAUGGAGCAACACCGCGUGAGUGAAGAAGGGUUUCGGCUCGUAAAGCUCUGUUGUUGGAGAAGAACGUGCGUGAGAGUAACUGUUCACGCAGUGACGGUAUCCAACCAGCAAGUCACGGCUAACUACGUGCCAGCAGCCGCGGUAAUACGUAGGUGGCAAGCGUUAUCCGGAUUUUUUGGGCGUAAAUCGAGCGCAGGCGGUUGCUUAGGUCUGAUGUGAAAGCCUUCGGCUUAACCGAAGAAGUGCAUCGGAAACCGGGCAACUUGAGGGCAGAAGAGGACAGUGGAACUCCAUGUGUAGCGGUGGAAUGCGGAGAUAUAUGGAAGAACACCAGUGGCGAAGGCGGCUGUCUGGUCUGCAACUGACGCUGAGGCUCGAAAGCAUGGGUAGCGAACAGGAUUAGAUACCCUUGUAGUC
This 465-nucleotide ribosomal RNA is filed under the name uncultured bacterium. RNAcentral's name for it is "partial 16S ribosomal RNA". It matches the Rfam family "Bacterial small subunit ribosomal RNA", at positions 338 to 795 of the family's 1533-position model. The record is from RNAcentral.